RNAcentral lists this ribosomal RNA (496 nucleotides) under uncultured bacterium. Its description in RNAcentral is "partial 16S ribosomal RNA". It matches the Rfam family "Bacterial small subunit ribosomal RNA", at positions 29 to 507 of the family's 1533-position model. The record is from RNAcentral.
AUGAACGCUGGCGGCGUGCCUAAUACAUGCAAGUCGAGCGAACGGACGAGAAGCUUGCUUCUCUGAUGUUAGCGGCGGACGGGUGAGUAACACGUGGAUAACCUACCUAUAAGACUGGGAUAACUUCGGGAAACCGGAGCUAAUACCGGAUAAUAUUUUGAACCGCAUGGUUCAAAAGUGAAAGACGGUCUUGCUGUCACUUAUAGAUGGAUCCGCGCUGCAUUAGCUAGUUGGUAAGGUAACGGCUUACCAAGGCAACGAUGCAUAGCCGACCUGAGAGGGUGAUCGGCCACACUGGAACUGAGACACGGUCCAGACUCCUACGGGAGGAAGCAGUAGGGAAUCUUCCGCAAUGGGCGAAAGCCUGACGGAGCAACGCCGCGUGAGUGAUGAAGGUCUUCGGAUCGUAAAACUCUGUUAUUAGGGAAGAACAUAUGUGUAAGUAACUGUGCACAUCUUGACGGUACCUAAUCAGAAAGCCACGGCUAACUACGUG